GGUGAGACAACAAAUUAGACAGAAUGCACAAUAUAAUUGAACUAUGAAAAAAGUGCAUGUUAAAUGUGAUUUUGAAAACUCUUCAUAGUUUUAUUUAAGAUUGAUUAAUUACCUGAGAUAAGGCCAAGUAGUUCCUUAGUAGUGAUGAGGAGGAGGAGGAGGAGGAGGUGAGGUGUAGUAAUAAUGCUUGGGUGGUGGUGGCGGUGGAGACUUGUAUUUGUAUACCGGUGUUGGUGGGGGUGGGGACUUGUACUUGUAAACUGGAGGAGGUGGCGGGGGAGACUUGUAUUUGUAAACUGGUGGUGGUGGAGACUUGUAUUUGUAAACUGGUGUUGGUGGUGGUGGGGACUUGUACUUGUAAACUGGUGGUGGUGGGGACUUGUAUUUGUAAACUGGUGGUGGUGGUGGUGGAGACUUGUACUUGUAGACUGGUGGUGGUGGUGAUUUAUAGUGGUAAUGAGGUGGAUGAGAGUGCACUGAGGGAGGUGGUGGUGGUGACUUGUAAUGGUAAGGAGGGGGAGGGGAGUGCACCGGAGGUGGUGGUGGUGGUGAUUUGUAGUGGUAAUGUGGUGGUAGGGAGUGCACUGGAGGUGGUGGUGGUGGUGACUUGUAGUGAUAUGGUGGUGGUGGUGGGGAGUGCACUGGGGGAGGAGGUGGUGGAGACUUGUAGUGAUAAGGAUGGGGAGGAGAGUGCACAGGAGGUGGCGGUGGUGGUGAUUUGUAAUGAUAAGUUGGUGGUGGUGGCGGUGAAUUGUAAUGGUAAAGAGGAGAGGGGAAAUGGUCGGUAGCUGCGGUUUCUAAUGGCAAGUUUAGGGACACUAAUACCACUACAAGAGUGACCAUAAGAGUGUCCAUUUUGGACCCCUUUGCUAUUCUUACCAUCUUUUUACUACAAAU
Molecule: long non-coding RNA, 897 nt
Filed under: Panax ginseng (ginseng)
Lineage: Eukaryota; Viridiplantae; Streptophyta; Magnoliopsida; Apiales; Araliaceae
Description: long non-coding RNA (PGIN_LNC002793)
Source: RNAcentral